GACGAACGCUGGCGGCGUGCUUAACACAUGCAAGUCGAACGGUAAGGCUCCAGCUUGCUGGGGUACACGAGUGGCGCACGGGUGAGUAACACGUGGGUGACCUGCCUUGCACUUCGGGAUAAGCCUGGGAAACUGGGUCUAAUACCGGAUAGGACCAUGGUGUGGAUACUGUGGUGGAAAGUUUUUUCGGUGUGGGAUGGGCCCGCGGCCUAUCAGCUUGUUGGUGGGGUAAUGGCCUACCAAGGCGGCGACGGGUAGCCGGCCUGAGAGGGUGGACGGCAAAAUUGGGACUGGGGCACGGCCCAGACUCCUACGGGAGGCAGCAGUGGGGAAUAUUGCACAAUGGGCGGAAGCCUGAUGCAGCGACGCCGCGUGGGGAAUGACGGCCUUCGGGUUGUAAACUCCUUUCACCAUCGACGAAGGGUUUCUGACGGUAGAUGGAGAAGAAGCACCGGCUAACUACGUG
RNAcentral lists this ribosomal RNA (466 nucleotides) under uncultured bacterium. RNAcentral's name for it is "partial 16S ribosomal RNA". It matches the Rfam family "Bacterial small subunit ribosomal RNA", at positions 28 to 507 of the family's 1533-position model. The record is from RNAcentral.